GCCAAUCAUUGAAUUUUUGAACGCAUAUUGCACUCUCUGGUAUUCCGGAGCGUAUGCCUGUUUGAGGUUCAUUCAAUAGCAUCUUUAUCCAAUUUUUUUUGGUCACAGGUAGUGAGUUCUCCGCGUUUAUCGCGGUAGCUUGAACUAAAUGUUAGUCUCAUUUUAGUCGAGACGCGUAAUAAUAUUAUUUCGCGAAGUCUUCAUUAUGUGACUAUCAAGUUUUGAUGCAUACAAAUUUGCUUUGUAUGCGAUCUAUACAAUUAUUUUGAACAUUACCUCAAAUCAGGUCGGCGUACC
This 297-nucleotide unclassified non-coding RNA is filed under the name Ambisporaceae sp. Its description in RNAcentral is "partial contains 5.8S ribosomal RNA and internal transcribed spacer 2". The stretch from base 1 to 71 matches the Rfam family "5.8S ribosomal RNA", at positions 84 to 154 of the family's 154-position model. The record is from RNAcentral. Lineage: Eukaryota; Fungi; Glomeromycota; Glomeromycetes; Archaeosporales; Ambisporaceae.